AUUGAACGCUGGCGGCAUGCCUUACACAUGCAAGUCGAACGGUAACAGGUCUUCGGAUGCUGACGAGUGGCGAACGGGUGAGUAAUACAUCGGAACGUGCCCGAUCGUGGGGGAUAACGAGGCGAAAGCUUUGCUAAUACCGCAUACGAUCUACGGAUGAAAGCGGGGGAUCUUCGGACCUCGCGCGGACGGAGCGGCCGAUGGCAGAUGAGGUAGUUGGUGGGAUAAAAGCUUACCAAGCCGACGAUCUGUAGCUGGUCUGAGAGGAUGAUCAGCCACACUGGGACUGAGACACGGCCCCGACUCCUACGGGAGGCAGCAGUGGGGAAUUUUGGACAAUGGGCGAAAGCCUGAUCCAGCCAUGCCGCGUGCAGGAUGAAGGCCUUCGGGUUGUAAACUGCUUUUGUACGGAACGAAAAGUCUCUUUCUAAUAAAGAGGGGUCAUGACGGUACCGUAAGAAUAAGCACCGGCUAACUACGUG
RNAcentral lists this ribosomal RNA (482 nucleotides) under uncultured bacterium. Its description in RNAcentral is "partial 16S ribosomal RNA". It matches the Rfam family "Bacterial small subunit ribosomal RNA", at positions 30 to 507 of the family's 1533-position model. The record is from RNAcentral.